CCAUAGCAGCUGCAGCAGCCAAGUGCUGGAUUAUACGCUCUUCAAGAUCAGAAUCACUUGCACCAACUGGUACAUGUUGUAAUUCAAAAUCCCCAAGUGUAGGAUGACGAAAUAUAGCGGCAUUUCUAGGUGUAGCAGCUCUGAUUUUCCUCUCCCGUUCUACUGCCUCCAGCAAUUCUCGACUUGUGGGAUCCUUCAGACUGAUAGCUUGCAAACACAUGGGGCACUGAGAGCUUCUCUGGCACCAUUCAAGGAUGCAUUGGAGGUGAUACUCGUGCUUGCAAUUAGUCACCGUUGAAGGAUUACUUUCGCAAAAUUCCUCAAGGCAAAUACUGCAAGCGUCUUCACACGAAUCCUGAAUUCCUCCUUCCACAAAAGCUGCAACUGAUGUCAUAUGAGUUUCAGGUUUCUUGACCUCCUCCAUCUCCGGAACCUCCACAGAGAAAUUGGAAAAGCUCCAGAUAAUGGGUGAAGAAAGAAACUCAAACAAUGCCCAUGAAAUGUUUGAAAGAUCAAAUCUUUUUGAGUUAUCCCUUUGGAAGGGAAAUGGUGCUGGUCCUAGAGAACCAUGGAAACCCUAGAAGUGAGGGAAGCCCCUGAGGAUGAUAAAGGGGAACGAGAAGAGAGAGAGAAAAGACGAGGCUAUUUAUUGGUUGGCU
RNAcentral lists this unclassified non-coding RNA (659 nucleotides) under Hevea brasiliensis (rubber tree). Lineage: Eukaryota; Viridiplantae; Streptophyta; Magnoliopsida; Malpighiales; Euphorbiaceae. The record is from RNAcentral.